AACCGAGGGAAGGUAGCUCAGGGAGGGAGGUCAAGCCGGUAGUCUAUCUGUGGUAUAGCAGCCGCACACACCUUGUUGGAUUGAAAUCUGUGGAUUUAUUCCCUGUGAGCGCCAGCGACUGAGAACGAGGAUGUGAGUACCUGGCUAGCCUUUCACCUCGUGUAUUCGAGAAGGAUGAGGAGCGAAGCAAUGGGGCAGAGAGUCAGCGAGCCAGCGAGUCAGCAGUGGACGCUCUUAAUAUACAGCAGAAGAAACAAGCCUGGGAGGAAAUAUGCUGAAAUGGAGAGUUGAGGAAGUGGGCCAGACAUCAGCUCACGACAUUGUUGGAACACGCGGUGUUGCCGCUUCUUCCAUGUCAAGAGCGUAUGGCUUGAGAUACCGGGUAUUUAGCAGUUCUUUUAUUUCCGCUUGUAAAUAAACAAAAAGUACUUCUUAUUCUAUUAGCUAAACUAAGACAAUAAAUGUGAACAGUCAA
Long non-coding RNA from Scylla paramamosain (green mud crab), 475 nucleotides. RefSeq lists it as uncharacterized. The transcript has 3 exons. The record is from RefSeq and is a predicted model, not a curated record. Lineage: Eukaryota; Metazoa; Arthropoda; Malacostraca; Decapoda; Portunidae.